CCGGGUGGCUCAAGACAUCAUGUUCAAUACUUGGCCGAGUAAAUCUGAUAGCUAUUAACAAUGACUGGUUCAAGGCUGAAAAAUUGUUACCAACUCAUCAUGCAAUGGAUUUUUCGUUUGUAUUCUCAAAAGUUAUUAGUUGAGUCUUGUCUAAUCUUGUCUAGGAAGUCAAGCUUUUUUUUUUUUUUAAAGCAUGUCGAAUCGUUUAGUGUAUAGGCAUUUUUUUAUAAGGAAGUCAAGCAUGUCGAAUUGUUUAGUGUAUAGAGUCAUUUCUAUUCAUAUGGAGAUUGUUGAAACUUGUUUUUGAUGAAAUAGAAUAACCGAAUGUUUGGCACUAUAAAAUAGUGUAACCAC
Molecule: long non-coding RNA, 354 nt
Filed under: Brassica rapa (field mustard)
Lineage: Eukaryota; Viridiplantae; Streptophyta; Magnoliopsida; Brassicales; Brassicaceae
Description: long non-coding RNA (BRAP_LNC004191)
Source: RNAcentral